This 82-nucleotide transfer RNA is filed under the name Promethearchaeota archaeon. Its description in RNAcentral is "Candidatus Lokiarchaeota archaeon tRNA-Ile". It matches the Rfam family "tRNA", at positions 18 to 71 of the family's 71-position model. From Rfam's summary of the family: Transfer RNA (tRNA) molecules are approximately 80 nucleotides in length. Lineage: Archaea; Promethearchaeati; Promethearchaeota. The record is from RNAcentral.
GUUAUCAAGGUUUUUAAAAGCUUGGCCAACAAGCGCAGGUCUUAUAAACCUGAGAUCGGGGGUUCAAAUCCCCCCGGGAGCA